This is a non-coding RNA of Rhopilema esculentum, 840 nucleotides long. The record is from RefSeq and is a predicted model, not a curated record. NCBI's taxonomy places the organism in Eukaryota, Metazoa, Cnidaria, Scyphozoa, Rhizostomeae, Rhizostomatidae.
UGGUUCAUUACUCGUUUUAGCCAAUCACUGCCUUAGAAAAGCAGGACAAAAGUUUUAGGAUGUAUCUUAAACAAUCGAGGUACCUCCAAGGCGCAUUGGUGAAAGAAGCAGCUUAGAUCUGGCUGAAAGUAAACAUGGCGGCUGUAAAGAUCUGUCUAAUGCUAGCCGUGGCCUUCACGGUAUUGCUGUCAGUAAGAGGUAAAACAGCGAAACAAGAACUACUUGGGCGUACCCUUUGGUUCCGAUCGUUAAACUUCAGGGAAUACUUCAUCCGACACAAAAAUUUCUUGGUCCAUAUCGAACACCGUCAACACACCAAGCGCUUUCUAUUGGAUUCAUUGUGGAAGAUAGUGCCUGGCCUGUGUGGUAGAGGGAUCAGUUUUCAAGCUUACACACACAAGAACUACUACCUGCGCCACAGAGGCUACCUGGUAUGGUUAGAUAAAUAUGAAAACAACCACGGAUUCAAGAAUGAUGCCUGUUUCAUUGCGCACCAUGGUCUCGCAGAUCGAAAAGCCUAUUCGUUUGAGGCAGUUAAUCCCGAUGGUUACGUGUUGCGUCAUCAAGGCUUCAGAAUGAAGAUAUCUCCGAAUGAUGGCACCAAUUUAUUAAGGCAGGAUGCUACAUUUGACCAUUUCCCAUAGAGGACCUGCGCAAGAGCAUUGUACAGCCUGGGGAAGAUGAAGAAGUAAAUGAACAUGCGCUGGAUUUUUUAAUUUUCUUGGCUUUCGAUAUAAACUCUUUAUUUACAUAUUUUCACUCUUUUGCUGAGGCCAGCUUCCGGUUAUAAACAUAUUUCUGUAGUAGUUUCAAAUGAAGCAAAGUCCAUGCUGUAAACAA